AACGAACGCUGGCGGCAGGCUUAACACAUGCAAGUCGAGCGCCCCGCAAGGGGAGCGGCAGACGGGUGAGUAACGCGUGGGAACCUACCUAGAGGUACGGAACAACUCCGGGAAACUGGAGCUAAUACCGUAUGUGCCCGAGAGGGGAAAGAUUUAUCGCCUUUAGAUGGGCCCGCGUCAGAUUAGCUAGUUGGUAGGGUAACGGCCUACCAAGGCGACGAUCUGUAGCUGGUCUGAGAGGAUGAUCAGCCACAUUGGGACUGAGACACGGCCCAAACUCCUACGGGAGGCAGCAGUGGGGAAUAUUGGACAAUGGGCGCAAGCCUGAUCCAGCCAUGCCGCGUGAGUGAUGAAGGCCUUAGGGUUGUAAAGCUCUUUCAGACGGAAAGAAAUCGCAUCUUCUAAUACAGGGUGUGGAUGACGGUACCGUAAGAAGAAGCACCGGCUAACUACGUG
RNAcentral lists this ribosomal RNA (456 nucleotides) under uncultured bacterium. RNAcentral's name for it is "bacterial SSU rRNA". It matches the Rfam family "Bacterial small subunit ribosomal RNA", at positions 29 to 507 of the family's 1533-position model. The record is from RNAcentral.